UGAGGAAUCUUCCACAAUGGGCGCAAGCCUGAUGGAGCGACACCGCGUGAAGGAUGAAGGUCUAACGAUUGUAAACUUCUUUUCUGGGGGAGCAUAAUGAGAGUACCUCAGGAAUAAGGGACGGCUAAAUACGUGCCAGCAGCCGCGGUAAUACGUAUGUCUCGAGCGUUAUCCGGAAUUACUGGGUGUAAAGAGUUCGUAGGCGGCGAAUUAAGUUAGGUAUGAAAGACCGGAGCUCAACUCCGUGUUUGUGCUUAAAACUGGUUUGCUAGAAUUAGGGAGAGGUAAGCGGAAUUCUAAGUGUAGGGGUGCAAUCCGUAGAUACUUAGAGGAACACCAAAAGCGAAGGCAGCUUACUGGAACUAUAUUGACGCUGAGGAACGAAAGCGUGGGGAGCGAA
This 400-nucleotide ribosomal RNA is filed under the name uncultured bacterium. RNAcentral's name for it is "bacterial SSU rRNA". It matches the Rfam family "Bacterial small subunit ribosomal RNA", at positions 355 to 772 of the family's 1533-position model. The record is from RNAcentral.